UGAGUUUGUUGAAGUGGACGUUCUCCGUAGCAACCAUAAGACGCAAAGGAAAAUAGUACUGUAGCUAGUUUCUCUGAGAGAAGAGAAACUAUCUUUCACGCCCCAGUUGGAGAUCUUGAUAAAACCACACCCCUCAGCGGUAUAAUUUUUCAAAACCAAUUGGAAUUCAGAUAGUUGCACUUCCCCUCGUACCAGCCCGGACACACAUUACAUACAUUAUUCUCGGCCACAAAAUGGCUGAGUCGUAUGCAUUAUUUGGGGAAGACCAAUUCUCUUGUUCAAUCUGUCUGGAUCUACUGAAGAACCCUGUGACCAUUCCUUGUGGACACAGUUACUGCAUGGGCUGUAUAAAGGACUAUUGGGAUCUAAAUGACCGCAUGGGUGUCUACGCCUGCCCUCAGUGCCGACAGACCUUCACCCCAAGGCCUGCUCUGAGCAAAAAUACCAUGUUUGCAGAGGUAGUGGAAAGACUGAAGAAGAUUGAAGAGUUCCAAGCUGACCCUCACGUUCCUUGUUAUGCUAAACCAGGGGAUAUUGAGUGUGAUGUCUGUGUUGGGAGAAAACAGAAAGCCAUUAAGUCUUGUCUUCUGUGUCUGGCCUCAUACUGUGAAACACACCUCAAGCUUCAUGACAAACUCAACCCUGGAAAACGACACACACUUGUGGAAGCCUCCAUACAGCUUCAGGAGAAGAUCUGCUCUCAGCAUGACAAACUACUGGAAGUUUACUGCCGUACUGAUCAACGUUGUAUCUGUUAUGAGUGUUUGAUGGGUGUACACAAAGGCCACGAAACAGUUUCAGCUGCAGCUGAAGGCACUGCAAAACAGAAUGAACUGAAGGAGACAAACAGGAAAUACAAGCAAAUAAUCGCCAGGAAAGAGAAGGAACUAUUGUGGUUGAAGCAGGCCAUGAGGUCUCUCACAUACUCCGCACAGAUAGCCGUGGAAGACAGUGACAAGGUCUUUACUGAAAUAAUCUGCUCUGUUGAGAAGUGGUACUCUGAUGUGAAAAGACUGAUCAGAUCACAGGAGAAGGCUGCUGUUGGCCCGGCUGAGGAGCAGAUUGACCAACUGCAAAGGGAGAUUUUAGAGCUGAGGAGGAGAGAUACUGAGCUUGAGCAGUUGUUAAAAACAGAAGAUUUUAUUAUUUUCCUCCAGGACUCAGGACCCAACUUGAAUAUGAAGAUUGUGUGUGUGUGUGUGUGUGUGUGUCUUUAGAGAUGUCAAUCUGUCCCAGCCCUCCCUGGAUAUGGAGACACAUCCAGCAUCAAUGUGAGUCAGCAAGUCUCUUUUGAAGGUGUGAAGAAAACUGUGGCUGAGCUGAAACAGCGAUUGGAGGACUUCUGCGAAGGGGCCUUUGCAAACAUCUCUAAAAAAGUACAGGAUAUUCAUAUUCUGCAGGCAUCAAAGCCUUGUCCACCUCUACCCCAGGUAACAGACAAGUGUGUGGAGAGUAAAGAACCAACAACAAGAGAGGAGUUUUUGAAAUAUGCCUGUCAGCUCACAUUGGACCAAAACACUGCACAUAAAAACCUCCUUCUCUCUAGGGACAACAAAGUGGCUGGAUGGAAUGAUUUUGCACUACCUUAUCCUGACCACCCAGAUAGAUUUGAUAACAUGCCUGUGGUAAUGUGCAGAGAGGCUUUGACAGGGCGCUGUUACUGGGAGGUUGAAUGGGAUGGAAUACAGGCUAUCAUAGCUGUAUCAUAUAAGGGGAUAAACAGGAAAAAAAAACUCAGCCCCCCUGAUGCAUUCUCCAAAUUUCUAGAAUUUUAUGAACAAUCCUGGAGUUUGGACUGGAAUAUAGCCCAAGUCUGUGAGAAUAAGAAAAAGAUUCAACUAACUGCUUGGUCCUCUAGGAGAAUAGGACUGUUCUUGGAUCACAAGGCAGGAACUCUAGCAUUUUACAACAUUGCUGAUAAAAUGACCCUCAUCUAUAGAGUAAAAACAACAUUCACUCAACCACUCUAUCCUGCUUUCUGGAUCAAAAUACAGUCCAAAAUAAAAUUGUGCCCCCUGAAAUAAAUUUAAAUGGCUGAUUACAACACAAUCCAUUUGCAGAGUAGGGCAAGGCAGAAGGAGUAGUUUACAUGUAUCUUCAAACUGUUUAUUGUACAUUGAGAAAAAUAUGGGAAUUGUGUAUAAUGUGCAUUUUCUUUAAAACUGCAUUCCACCAAGUAUACAAAUGAUUUUAUGAAUAGUGGUAAUUGUAUAUACUACCUACUUUUAUGCAAGAAUUAAAUAAAUAAAUCAAUAUGCUAACA
Molecule: RNA transcript, 2263 nt
Organism: Oncorhynchus kisutch (coho salmon)
Lineage: Eukaryota; Metazoa; Chordata; Actinopteri; Salmoniformes; Salmonidae
Gene name: tripartite motif-containing protein 16
Exons: 7
Source: RefSeq, a predicted model, not a curated record